Falco peregrinus (peregrine falcon) is the source of this 988-nucleotide long non-coding RNA. RefSeq lists it as uncharacterized. Lineage: Eukaryota; Metazoa; Chordata; Aves; Falconiformes; Falconidae. The record is from RefSeq and is a predicted model, not a curated record. The transcript is spliced from 2 exons.
UUAUAUUUGCUGAGGGACAAGAGACUUAACCUCAGUGGAUUUCUGGAUGGCCAGCCUGGACAGCUUUGCCACAAUUACACAGUCAUUCUGUUGAUUCACCUGCAUCCUUUAAUUUUGGGUUCUUCAUCUGCCGAUUCUGUAUCUGUCAGCAGACAUUCUCCUGUAAGCCACAGAGUCGCAUGCUGUCACUAGAGAGUCGCUGGACAUUAAGGCUGCUUGAGCAGUUUGAAAGAAAAAGCAUGAGGCGACAGCUAUUCUUUGUAAAGUUCAGUAAAGCAGAGACAGCCUUGAAGCAGAAAACUCUGUUUGAUCUCAAGUUAUUUUCCCUCUUCAGCAUCCACCAAGUUUAUCUCAAGCAGAGGUGUAUGUUGCUUCCAAUUGUUUGAGACAAGCAGGUAUUAUAUGCAGAUGCUUAGAGGAUGUGCACAAAGGAGAAUAUGCCCUGUCCACCGUAAUGGACUUGAACUGAUGAGAAAAGGACAUAUAAGUUCAACUUGCAGAGCAGAAGAAAAGCCAGUUCUGGACCCUGGAGCAAGUAUGUGACUUUCUUCCAUGUUAUACUCACAUCUUAUCAAAAUUUAUCUCUGCAAGGAAAUACUGAAAGAAUAUCAGUGAGAAUGAAGCUCUCGGAUGAGUAUCUCAGGUCAGUGAAGAAACCAGUCAAACCCAAUGAAUUAUCUUUCAAGUUAACUUCAUGUUUUUACCUAUGAAUUUUGGGGGUCAGUGGUUUUAGCUAGUUUGGAAAAAGUUGAAAACAAAGGCGUUAUUUAUAUCAGAGCAUCUUGCAUGUUCCAAGGGGAGUUAUCUUCUCAGUUGGCCAAUCUUAAGAGGACUGCUGCAAGUAUGGUUCAUAGCCGACUCCUUUAAAAACAAAACAAGUAGCAAGGGACUCAUGAUCAUGAUCCAUGUAAUUUUGCACAUCUUACUCUGAUACUCCUUUUGUAAUGUGAUUUCAAAAAGAAAAAUAAAAGUUUUCUGUUAAUUAUGA